This 356-nucleotide unclassified non-coding RNA is filed under the name fungal sp. RNAcentral describes it as "partial internal transcribed spacer region". The stretch from base 1 to 46 matches the Rfam family "Eukaryotic small subunit ribosomal RNA", at positions 1786 to 1831 of the family's 1831-position model. Lineage: Eukaryota; Fungi. The record is from RNAcentral.
AAGUCGUAACAAGGUUUUCGUAGGUGAACCUGCGGAAGGAUCAUUUUCACAACUAAACUUAUAAACCUUACGCGAACUGUCUUUCCUUCUUGGUGGAGUGGUGAGACACAUCUGGGUGAUGGCAUGGCUCUCCGGAGCUGUGAGAUUGUCUCAUCGCCUAGUAUGGUUCUUCCGGGAAUCAUACUAGACCUCUGCCCUGAAGCGUAUUCUCUUCCAUCUGCCCUAACUACCCAACCAACCUUUCUUUAAUGAACUGAUCUGAUCUCAAUUAGCUUGGCAGCACCCUUCGGGGAGCUCCGCGUUGAGAUUAUUAUAUUAAACCUGAACAACUCUUAACAACGGAUAUCUUGGUUCCC